UCCGAAGGGGGCUAGCGUUGCUCGGAAUCACUGGGCGUAAAGCGCACGUAGGCGGCUUUUUAAGUCAGGGGUGAAAUCCUGGAGCUCAACUCCAGAACUGCCUUUGAUACUGAGAAGCUUGAGUCCGGGAGAGGUGAGUGGAACUGCGAGUGUAGAGGUGAAAUUCGUAGAUAUUCGCAAGAACACCAGUGGCGAAGGCGGCUCACUGGCCCGGUACUGACGCUGAGGUGCGAAAGCGUGGGGAGCAAACCGG
Molecule: ribosomal RNA, 253 nt
Filed under: uncultured bacterium
Lineage: Bacteria
Description: partial 16S ribosomal RNA
Rfam family: Bacterial small subunit ribosomal RNA
Source: RNAcentral